Molecule: long non-coding RNA, 3012 nt
Organism: Anguilla rostrata (American eel)
Lineage: Eukaryota; Metazoa; Chordata; Actinopteri; Anguilliformes; Anguillidae
Exons: 12
Source: RefSeq, a predicted model, not a curated record
CGACCUUGAAAUCCAGGUACCGCGUCACCUUGGUGAGGAGCAGCAUCCGGACCAGCUGGCCUGGAGGGAAGAGCCGCAGGGAGGAGAGCUCGCACCUGUGACACCUGUCACACCUGCGCUCAGCCUAAACUCCACAGGGCCUGCUGCUGGCCCCUGACCCAGUGACCCCAUGACCCCUGACCCCAUGACCCCCCAGCCCUGCAGAUGUGCUUUGACUUGCCGUUGGCCAUCAGGAACUUCGGGAUGAGGUCCACGUUCCAGUCCCUCCCCUUCCCCAUGGACUCUGGGGGACUGCCAGGCAAGUUGAAACGCUUAUACAGCUAGGACAGACAGACAAACGAGAGUCAUCACCAGAUAACUGGAACUGGAAUAGACUGGCAGGCGGUUGGCAGAUGAUUGGCAGAUGAUAGGCAGGCCUUACGUCCUCCAGCGGGGUGAUGGAGGCGCUUUCUGCUCCGUAGUAGGAGUUUCGGUCCAUGUGCAGCACCUUCUUCCCCUUCACCGACAUGAUCCCGGAAAGGAUACAUUCCUGAAAAAAAGUCCCAGCAUACACCUCACCACCACACUUACACUUCAACUCUAAACCCUCAACCUCACUGAGAACAGCAAGCCACGCUGAACCACCGUAAGUAAAUCUCACUUUAUUCAAGAGGAGCCGCACUGAACUCCACAACACAUGUAUUUCUGGGAUGAAAACAUUCUGUCAUCUUAUUUUUAUCUCCGGACAGAUUACACCCUAUUGAGAAAUGAACGAUAGGGUGGUCCUGAACGAUAACUGUGGGUGACAUGUUAGCAGCGUCCUCAGGACCCUACUGGUGGUCUUAGGAGUGAAAAUAUUUGCUGCACUUUAGCACUAUUCACAGUUUAUAUUAUUCUUCUUUCUGAAACUAAAGUUGUACAAAGAGCACAUUUUUAUGACUCCGGACUCACUCCUGGGAAUCUGUGUAUUUUUCCGUCACUGUACAGGUUUCCUCCUCCGGUUGACGGACCAGUGCAGGACGGACAGAACCUUGCGCAGUUUGAGCUGACUGUGCUCCUCUGACCCGUCUGCUUCCUCUGUGCCACUGACCCUCCCUGCCCUACAUUAGGCUGACGCACUGGCAAUCUUUACAGCAGGUGUAAACUGGAGUUAGCAGCGAUGGAAGCACUAGGACAUCCCUCCCACUCCUGGCAUGCACUGCAUUCCUGAAUCUCUCCAGCGACCCAAAGCUGUCUCUCAAACGACAAAAAAAUGGAGAGCGAUGGUACUCGGGUAGCGCUGAGACGUGGCCACGUCAAUAACUUCCAACCCACGUCGGGGGAGGAGUCGUUCAGCCCUUCACCAAUCAUGAGAGGCAAAGAAUGUUUCGAGUCUUUGCCAGCAUCUGUGCCCGGGUACCCAGCGCCCCCUGCGGUGGGCGGGUACGGCUUGUGGGGACGCGUUAGGAUUCCGGGGCGUGGGAGUCGAAGGCCGCGAGCACGUCCUGCUUCCUAGCGAGCUGAUUGGCCGUCGUCCCGGAGGCGUCCUGCGUGUCCCGGAGUCCGAGCAGGAGGAGAGCUCGUGUGGCGUCCGCCUGCUGUCCCGCACAGGCCGAGUGGAGGGCUGGGACAGAAAUGGGGUUUUCUUUUACAGACACAUUUACAACCUGUCAAAAUCACAAAAAUAUGUUUCCCUAAUGAUCUGCAAUUUUCACAUUUUCUUUUUCACCCAAAACCAAAUUUAUGAUUGUGUGAGUCACAUUGAUAUGAACCAGCCUUAAUGUCAGCCUUUAGUUUCUGCUUCAUUUCACAAGCAUAGAUUAAUUACAGUAAAGAAAACUACCGCCAUUUGUGGAACAAGGUCGGCUCCUAAUUCCAGGAGGGUUUUUAUCGUGCUCGCGUGACCUUCCUACAAGAAGGAUCGCAAAUGAAGGAGCAGUCUGGCGACCGCAACGCUUCCGGUCCGCACAGCGUCUGUGAAGGGAGUGACUCCACAGCUGUCCCUGCAGUCGGGCUGGAUGCGAACCACAUCUUCACAGCCGUGCAGAGCUGAAGAAAACAGAGCAACGAACGCUAAGAACUGCUCAAAACACGUCCUUCGAGCCAGCGACCUAAGGAUACCCAUGUAUCACCUACAGUCCUCCGCUCUACCAACUGAGCUAUCGAAGGGACAGUUCAGCAGACCCCCGGUCCCUGGGUUCACCAUGGCACACCGCACACGUGACAGGAAUGUGGGAGUCGUGUUAAGGAUGGCACGCAACGCGGCCAAACACCCAGCCCUGUUUCUCAUCACACGGUAAGGCUGCCUGUGGGGAAUCUGAGCAACGCACCCCGCCAUGUUCCCAUGACAGGUGGAUGGCAGAGGAGCAGCCGCAGUGUAGGAGGUGCCCUGGCUGGGAUCGAACCUCCUGCCCACUCAGAGGGACCAGUGCUGGGUUCCAGCGAACUCAUCCUACAGGCUGCGGAAUGGCCAAUGUCACGGCAACCAGCUGCUCUGAAGACAGAAGCAAAGGUGAAGGGAACGGUUGUGCGGCGGAAUGGCUCCGCCCCUCCGAUAACUGACUCCGCCCCUCCGGUGAUGAAGCUGUGUUCAUGGCUCCGCCUCUCCGGGUUCAUGACUCUGCCCUCCGGCGGUGACGCUGUGUCAAUGACUCUGUUUUCAUUCUAGCUAGUAAGGCGCAAGGCACGCUCCCUGUGGUGGACAUAAAACGCCUGUGCAACAGAAUAACCGGUUGUGUAUGAUGCAAACUAAAUUACAUGUAGUUGUCUGUACCAAAAUGCAAUUUACAUAUAUAUCUGUCUUCAGAUAUCUCAGUUUGACUAUCAUUUCGUUUGUUUAUUUAUUUAUUUAUUUAUAUUAUUUUAUUUUAAAAUGCUUGUUUUUACAGGGCCCAUCUUUGUUUUAAGAUAUCUGGGAAGAGUGCAUCGGUGGAAUGAGUGUAGUGUGCCACAGUUGUGGGCUUUGGUUUUUUGUCUGAUUGUCAAAUAUAUGUGGUUUUUUAAUGCUGCGCACAAUUUUCCAUCUGGGGAUAAUAAAGACCUACAGAAACUGAA